Molecule: transfer RNA, 76 nt
Filed under: Pectobacterium phage vB_PcaM_CBB
Lineage: Duplodnaviria; Heunggongvirae; Uroviricota; Caudoviricetes
Description: Pectinobacterium phage vB_PcaM_CBB tRNA-Arg
Rfam family: tRNA
About the family: Transfer RNA (tRNA) molecules are approximately 80 nucleotides in length.
Source: RNAcentral
UUUGUGUAGCUCAGUUGGAAUUAGAGCAUUUGUCUACGAAACAAAGGGUCGCAGGUUCGAGUCCUGCCAUGAACAC